GCUGGUGUACCAGUUGUUCCGCCAGGAGCAUCGCUGGGUAGCUAUGUGUGGAUGAGAUAAACGCUGAAAGCAUCUAAGUGUGAAACUCGCCUCAAGAUGAGAUUUCCCAUUGCCUUCGGGCAAGUAAGACCCCUGAGAGAUGAUCAGGUAGAUAGGCUAGAAGUGGAAGUGUAGCGAUACAUGGAGCGGACUAGUACUAAUCGGUCGAGGACUUAACCAA
RNAcentral lists this ribosomal RNA (220 nucleotides) under Lacticaseibacillus rhamnosus. RNAcentral describes it as "partial 23S ribosomal RNA". It matches the Rfam family "Bacterial large subunit ribosomal RNA", at positions 2708 to 2925 of the family's 2925-position model. Lineage: Bacteria; Bacillati; Bacillota; Bacilli; Lactobacillales; Lactobacillaceae. The record is from RNAcentral.